UCCAAAGAAGGCGCUCUGAAAGGGGAGGCUAUGGUUAGAGCUCAGUUUCAAGAAGAUCCAUACGGAUGCGUUGGUUCGCUUUGGCGUAAGAAGCUGAAGCGUGACCCUUUCCACAGGACUAUACCUUACCCUAAUGGAUGCCCUGAGAUUAGAGGAUUGUUCAGGUACUGUGGUUCAGCUCCUUUUCCUGGCUCUCUCCCAUGGGACUCAUCUGGGUCAAUCCUAUAACUAGACUUUGCUUAGAGGAACAGAUACUUGGUCAAGAGCUUUUUUUUUUUUUGUUUACUUUCAUUAAUGUAAAAGAGAAACUUCACAAUCUUUGUAUUGAGAGAGAACUUUAAACUGUAUUAAAAUGCUAUUUACCUGGAAUAUAUUACAAGAUCUCUAUAUUUAUAUAAAAACAAGCUUUUCAUCCUCCAUGUUCAUCAAUCAAAGGAAACAAGAACACAAAUGAAGAAGAAGUAAAAAGAAUGGUAAGAGAGUAAUUAUUACUAAUGCAACAACUGGAGGUUCUGUCUCAAAACGGUUUUGUUGUUCUAAUUGUUUGGUUUGGAGGAAGAAGACGAUGACUUCCUGUUUUUCGCAAAGUCAACCAAGUCUUUGAAAAGGAUAUCCUCUGGUUUGUCAUCUUUCUUUGGCGGUGUAGCAGCAGCAGUAGCAGAGCCGGUUGGAUUCAGAGAAAGAUUCCGGGAUUGUCCCACGAGAUCCUCAUAAGAGGAAUCAGAGCCACUGCUUGUGCGUUGAGGAACAUUAUUAUGCUGGGAGUAUUGUUGCCUCUGGCUGAUUCUAACGGACAUUGGUGGUGGAAAAGCCCUGGUUCCUUCAGGAUCCCAUGGAGCACGAGGCAACUGCUCAGUUUGGUCAUAAACUGGUUUGGUGAACAAAGCUUGCUCAGGAGAUUUGCUCCGGGGAGCUGGAUCGUCGAAAACAGGAGCAGAAGCGUCUCGGUCUGAUGAAUGGGUACUACUCGGAGGCUUUGAAGUCUCUGAGGCUCCUUGAGGUGUGUAGACAUCACCACUGAGGAAGUCCAUAGCACCAGAUUCAACAUGUACUGGCCUCAUUGUAGGUGGUGGUGGAGGAAGAACAGGGUUGAAACUCACUCGUGCACUCUCUCUUUUUGACCUGCAGAGUUGAGUUUGAUGAAGUUUUGGGAUGCAAUUGAAAUGAGCAAAGGAUGGUCAUUAGCAUUUACCUGUGAGAUAGCUGAGAAAAAUCAUCAUCUGACUCAUCAUCUUCGUCAUGGUUGAUGCUAACAAGCGGUAUAGUAGGAGCUGUUGCAGGAACAGAUUUUCCCUUUGCCUUAUCAUCAUGUUGCUGAAGAACACGCUGCAGAUUGUCGUUCAAUGCCAAUCCUUGACACAGAAGUUCCUCAUCUCUGCAAAAAAGGAAGGAGACUCUCUCUCUCAACAUUAGCGAAUUCUAUCAAAUUUAGUAACGAACAGGAGGGUGAAGGAGAAAGCAAACGAAUCCUUACGAUGUAGUGUUGACCAGAGUCAUUACACGUCUCUGAUAAGUACGGCAUUGCUCUACCAAAUCAACUAUAAGCUCUUCCUUUAAACCCUGUCACAACAGAAACAGCAGUGAGUGUUUCAAAUCAAAUCAAACAACAGAGACACCAUGUCUAAUCAUGUAAUAAUAUCUUACCUCAGGAUGGCUUGGAUCAAGAGCCCCAAGCAUGUCCGUCAAAAUAUCAACUGAUCCCUGAGCACUUUGAAUCUCUUCCAAACUAGAAAAAACAAAUACACUUAAAAGUCUACAACAAGCUUGAGACAACACCGUUCAGCGAUGGGGUUUCCGGAAUCAAGAUUCAGAUACGUGGGAACGCCAGCUUCGCUUGAGUCCAAAGAAGGCGCUCUGAAAGGGGAGGCUAUGGUUAGAGCUCAGUUUCAAGAAGAUCCAUACGGAUGCGUUGGUUCGCUUUGGCGUAAGAAGCUGAAGCGUGACCCUUUCCACAGGACUAUACCUUACCCUAAUGGAUGCCCUGAGAUUAGAGGAUUGUUCAGGUACUGUGGUUCAGCUCCUUUUCCUGGCUCUCUCCCAUGGGACUCAUCUGGGUCAAUCCUAUAACUAGACUUUGCUUAGAGGAAC
Molecule: long non-coding RNA, 2088 nt
Filed under: Brassica napus (rape)
Lineage: Eukaryota; Viridiplantae; Streptophyta; Magnoliopsida; Brassicales; Brassicaceae
Description: long non-coding RNA (BNAP_LNC005098)
Source: RNAcentral